RNAcentral lists this ribosomal RNA (458 nucleotides) under uncultured Comamonadaceae bacterium. RNAcentral's name for it is "bacterial SSU rRNA". It matches the Rfam family "Bacterial small subunit ribosomal RNA", at positions 8 to 476 of the family's 1533-position model. Lineage: Bacteria; Pseudomonadati; Pseudomonadota; Betaproteobacteria; Burkholderiales; Comamonadaceae. The record is from RNAcentral.
AGACUUUGAUCCUGGCUCAGAUUGAACGCUGGCGGCAUGCUUUACACAUGCAAGUCGAACGGUAACAGGUCUUCGGGAUGCUGACGAGUGGCGAACGGGUGAGUAAUGCAUCGGAACGUGCCCAGUCGUGGGGGAUAACGCAGCGAAAGCUGUGCUAAUACCGCAUACGAUCUGCGGAUGAAAGCGGGGGACCUUCGGGCCUCGCGCGAUUGGAGCGGCCGAUGUCAGAUUAGGUAGUUGGUGGGGUAAAGGCUCACCAAGCCAACGAUCUGUAGCUGGUCUGAGAGGACGACCAGCCACACUGGGACUGAGACACGGCCCAGACUCCUACGUGAGGCAGCAGUGGGGAAUUUUGGACAAUGGGCGCAAGCCUGAUCCAGCAAUGCCGCGUGCAGGAAGAAGGCCUUCGGGUUGUAAACUGCUUUUGUACGGAACGAAAAGCUCUGGGUUAAUACCCU